Molecule: ribosomal RNA, 914 nt
Filed under: bacterium enrichment culture clone PCP61
Lineage: Bacteria
Description: bacterial SSU rRNA
Rfam family: Bacterial small subunit ribosomal RNA
Source: RNAcentral
UAGGCGGUUUAUUAAGUCUAAAAUUAAAGCCUGGGGCUUAACCUCAGUUCGUUUUAGAAACUGGUAGACUUGAGUAUGGUAGAGGUAAGUGGAAUUUCUAGUGUAGCGGUUAAAUGCGUAGAUAUUAGAAGGAACACCAGUGGCGAAGGCGGCUUACUGGGCCAUUACUGACGCUGAUGCACGAAAGCGUGGGGAGCAAAUAGGAUUAGAUACCCUAGUAGUCCACGCCGUAAACGAUGAUUACUAAGUGUCGGGAAACCGGUGCUGAAGCUAACGCAUUAAGUAAUCCACCUAAGUAGUACGGUCGCAAGACUGAAACUCAAAGGAAUUGACGGGCACCCGCACAAGCGGUGGAGCAUGCUGUUUAAUUCGAAGAUACGCGAAGAACCUUACCUAGACUUGACAUCCCCGGCAAAGCUAUAGAAAUAUAGUGGAGGUUACCCGGGUGACAGGUGGUGCAUGGUUGUCGUCAGCUCGUGUCGUGAGAUGUUCGGUUAAGUCCGAUAACGAGCGCAACCCUUAUCUUUAGUUGCUAACAUUUAGUUGAGUUCUCUAAAGAUACUGCCGGUGACAAACCGGAGGAAGGUGGGGAUGACGUCAAAUCAUCAUGCCCCUUACGUCUAGGGCAACAGGCGUGCUACAAUGGCUGGUACAAAAAGAUGCAAUACUGUGAGGUGGAGCAAAUCUAGAAAACCAGUCCCAGUUCGGAUUGGAGUCUGCAACUCGACUCCAUGAAGUUGGAAUCGCUAGUAAUCCUGGAUCAGAAUGCCAGGGUGAAUACGUUCCCGGGUGUUGUACACACCGCCCGUCACGCUAUGGGAGUUUGUAAUACCCGAAGUUGGUAGCCUAACCUUUUAGGAGGGGGCCAACGAAGGUAGGACAAGUAACUGGAGUGAAGUCGUAACAAGGUAACC